GUAGCGGUUGUUCAGUGGUAGAAUUCUUGGCUUCAAUGCAGGGGAUAUGGGUUCAAUUCCCUGCCAGUGCA
Molecule: transfer RNA, 71 nt
Filed under: Loxodonta africana (African savanna elephant)
Lineage: Eukaryota; Metazoa; Chordata; Mammalia; Proboscidea; Elephantidae
Rfam family: tRNA
About the family: Transfer RNA (tRNA) molecules are approximately 80 nucleotides in length. Their secondary structure includes four short double-helical elements and three loops (D, anti-codon, and T loops).
Source: Rfam by way of RNAcentral